AAGUGGAUUAGUGGCGCACGGGUGAGUAAUGCAUAGGUUAUGUGCCCUUUAGUCUGGGAUAGCCACUGGAAACGGUGAUUAAUACUGGAUACUCCCUACGGGGGAAAGUUUUUCGCUAAAGGAUCAGCCUAUGUCCUAUCAGCUUGUUGGUGAGGUAAUGGCUCACCAAGGCUAUGACGGGUAUCCGGCCUGAGAGGGUGAUCGGACACACUGGAACUGAGACACGGUCCAGACUCCUACGGGAGGCAGCAGUAGGGAAUAUUGCUCAAUGGGGGAAACCCUGAAGCAGCAACGCCGCGUGGAGGAUGAAGGUUUUAGGAUUGUAAACUCCUUUUGUAAGAGAAGAUU
RNAcentral lists this ribosomal RNA (348 nucleotides) under uncultured Helicobacter sp. RNAcentral's name for it is "bacterial SSU rRNA". It matches the Rfam family "Bacterial small subunit ribosomal RNA", at positions 85 to 450 of the family's 1533-position model. The record is from RNAcentral. Lineage: Bacteria; Pseudomonadati; Campylobacterota; Epsilonproteobacteria; Campylobacterales; Helicobacteraceae.